GCGGAAGUGGCGGAAUUGGUAGACGCACCAGAUUUAGGUUCUGGCGCCGCAAGGUGUGAGAGUUCAAGUCUCUCCUUCCGCACC
RNAcentral lists this transfer RNA (84 nucleotides) under Vibrio parahaemolyticus. Its description in RNAcentral is "tRNA-Leu". It matches the Rfam family "tRNA". Rfam says of the family: Transfer RNA (tRNA) molecules are approximately 80 nucleotides in length. Their secondary structure includes four short double-helical elements and three loops (D, anti-codon, and T loops). Further hydrogen bonds mediate the characteristic L-shaped molecular structure. tRNAs have two regions of fundamental functional importance: the anti-codon, which is responsible for specific mRNA codon recognition, and the 3' end, to which the tRNAs corresponding amino acid is attached (by aminoacyl-tRNA synthetases). tRNAs cope with the degeneracy of the genetic code in two manners: having more than one tRNA (with a specific anti-codon) for a particular amino acid; and 'wobble' base-pairing, i.e. permitting non-standard base-pairing at the 3rd anti-codon position. Lineage: Bacteria; Pseudomonadati; Pseudomonadota; Gammaproteobacteria; Vibrionales; Vibrionaceae. The record is from RNAcentral. RNAcentral also lists the same sequence under 1 other name.